AUGAUGAUAUCACCUAUUGCCGUUUACCCAGCAGAGGGUUUCUUUGAAGACCUAUUUUGAGACUGANN
This 68-nucleotide small nucleolar RNA is filed under the name Sorex araneus (European shrew). RNAcentral describes it as "Small nucleolar RNA SNORD87 (ENSSARG00000017675.1)". It matches the Rfam family "Small nucleolar RNA SNORD87", at positions 10 to 78 of the family's 85-position model. From Rfam's summary of the family: U87 (HBII-276) is a member of the C/D class of snoRNA which contain the C (UGAUGA) and D (CUGA) box motifs. Most of the members of the box C/D family function in directing site-specific 2'-O-methylation of substrate RNAs. Lineage: Eukaryota; Metazoa; Chordata; Mammalia; Eulipotyphla; Soricidae. The record is from RNAcentral.